CAGCGAAGGGCAACAAAAAUGAUUAGGGGUCUGGAACACAUGAGCUAUGAGGGAAGAAUGAAAAAACUGGAUUUGUUUUGUUUGGAGGAAAAAAGAUUUAGGGGGGACAUAAUAACAAUUUUCAAGAACGUAAAAGGUUGUUACAAGGAGGAGGGAGAAAAAAUGUUCUCCCUAAGUUCUGAGGAUAGGACACGAAGCAAUGGGCUUAAAUUGCAGCAAGGGCAGCUUAGGUUGG
Molecule: long non-coding RNA, 235 nt
Organism: Chelonia mydas (Green sea turtle)
Lineage: Eukaryota; Metazoa; Chordata; Testudines; Cheloniidae
Exons: 3
Source: RefSeq, a predicted model, not a curated record